UACGGGGGGGGCAAGCGUUGUUCGGAAUUACUGGGCGUAAAGGGUUCGUAGGUGGCUUGCUAAGUCAGACGUGAAAUCCCUCAGCUUAACUGGGGAACUGCGUCUGAGACUGGCAAGCUCGAGUGCAGGAGAGGAACGCAGAAUUCCAGGUGUAGCGGUGAAAUGCGUAGAUAUCUGGAGGAAUACCGGUGGCGAAGGCGGCGUUCUGGACUGCAACUGACACUGAGUGAACGAAAGCCAGGGGAGCAAAUGGG
RNAcentral lists this ribosomal RNA (254 nucleotides) under uncultured bacterium. Its description in RNAcentral is "partial 16S ribosomal RNA". It matches the Rfam family "Bacterial small subunit ribosomal RNA", at positions 524 to 776 of the family's 1533-position model. The record is from RNAcentral.